This 911-nucleotide ribosomal RNA is filed under the name uncultured beta proteobacterium. RNAcentral's name for it is "bacterial SSU rRNA". It matches the Rfam family "Bacterial small subunit ribosomal RNA", at positions 8 to 916 of the family's 1533-position model. Lineage: Bacteria; Pseudomonadati; Pseudomonadota; Betaproteobacteria. The record is from RNAcentral.
AGAGUUUGAUCCUGGCUCAGAUUGAACGCUGGCGGCAUGCCUUACACAUGCAAGUCGAACGGCAGCGGACCUUCGGGUGCCGGCGAGUGGCGAACGGGUGAGUAAAGUAUCGGAACGUACCUUUCAGUGGGGGAUAACGUAGCGAAAGUUACGCUAAUACCGCAUAUUCUGUGAGCAGGAAAGCAGGGGAUCGCAAGACCUUGCGCUGAUUGAGCGGCCGAUAUCAGAUUAGCUAGUUGGUGGGGUAAAGGCCUACCAAGGCGACGAUCUGUAGCGGGUCUGAGAGGAUGAUCCGCCACACUGGGACUGAGACACGGCCCAGACUCCUACGGGAGGCAGCAGUGGGGAAUUUUGGACAAUGGGCGCAAGCCUGAUCCAGCCAUGCCGCGUGAGUGAAGAAGGCCUUCGGGUUGUAAAGCUCUUUCGGCCGGGAAGAAAUCGCAUGGGCUAAUACCCUGUGUGGAUGACGGUACCGGAAUAAGAAGCACCGGCUAACUACGUGCCAGCAGCCGCGGUAAUACGUAGGGUGCGAGCGUUAAUCGGAAUUACUGGGCGUAAAGCGUGCGCAGGCGGUUUUUUAAGAUAGGCGUGAAAUCCCCGGGCUCAACCUGGGAACUGCGCUUAUGACUGGAAGACUAGAGUAUGGCAGAGGGGGGUGGAAUUCCACGUGUAGCAGUGAAAUGCGUAGAGAUGUGGAGGAACACCGAUGGCGAAGGCAGCCCCCUGGGCCAAUACUGACGCUCAUGCACGAAAGCGUGGGGAGCAAACAGGAUAGAUACCCUGGUAGUCCACGCCCUAAACGAUGUCAACUAGGUGUUGGGUGGGUAAAACCAUUUAGUACCGUAGCUAACGCGUGAAGUUGACCGCCUGGGGAGUACGGCCGCAAGGUUAAAACUCAAAGGAAUUGACGG